This is an RNA transcript of Dermacentor silvarum, 6901 nucleotides long. It is a transcript of the gene named actin-related protein 2/3 complex subunit 1A-A, with no coding region annotated. NCBI's taxonomy places the organism in Eukaryota, Metazoa, Arthropoda, Arachnida, Ixodida, Ixodidae. The record is from RefSeq and is a predicted model, not a curated record. The transcript is spliced from 9 exons.
AGCCAACACAAUCCAAAAUACGAGUAAGUUUUUUAUCGCAGAGACCGUGGAGGCAAGCUCCCCGGUCGACGAAAGUCGCUUGAUUUUCUUCAACAUUCGGCACCCGUUUUCAUGUCUAGGCUGCCAGACGCAAAGUGACAUCUCCACUCUUGGACCAUGGAUGUACACAGUUUUGGUGUGGAGCCCAUCACCUGCCACACAUGGAACAAGGAUCGUACAGAGGUGGCACUGUGCCCCAACAACGCGGAUGUGCAACUCUACAAGCGAGAGGCGGGCGGAGGAUGGUCUCCGGGGCAGACACUCAGCCGGCACGACCUGCGAGUGACUAGCAUCGACUGGGCCCCACGGAGUAACCGCAUUGUGACGUGUUCUGCAGACCGCAAUGCGUACGUCUGGACUCUGGGCUCGGAGGAGCCUGGUACCAACGCCACGGUGUGGACCCCCACCUUGGUGCUGCUGCGAAUCAACCGUGCUGCCACCUGUGUUCGGUGGUCGCCCCUUGAGAACAAGUUUGCCGUGGGGUCGGGUGCCAAGCUGGUGUCAGUGUGCUACUUUGAGAAGGACCACAACUGGUGGGUGAGCAAGCACAUCAAGAAGCCCAUCAAGUCAACUGUCACCUCGGUCGACUGGCACCCCAACAACUGCCUGCUUGCCUGCGGCUCCACCGACUUCCGCACCAGGGUGUUCUCUGCAUACAUCAAGGAGGUGGACACUGCUCCUGAGCCGACACCCUGGAACGACAAGACCACCUCGUUUGGCAGUCUAGUGGCUGAACUGUCUGCCAGUGGCAUUGGCUGGGUGCACUCGGUGUGCUUCUCGGGGGAUGGCACCCGGUUGGCCUGGGUUGGCCACGACUCGAGCGUGUGCGUCGCGGAUGCCCAGCGGGGGCAGGCCAUCACUUGCGUGCGCACCCCAUACCUGCCAUUCCUCUCCUGUCUCUGGAUCUCUCCCACGAGGCUGCUGGUGGCCGGUUAUGACUGCUACCCCAUGGUGUACGAGUACAGCAAUGGCCAGCUAAGCUUUGUUGACAAACUGGACAAAUCGCAGCGCAAGGAAGGUGGAUGGUGUCAGUGCCAUGCGCAAGUUCCUCAACAUGGACAAGCAUGCGAUGGAGAGCCGGGGUGACACCCUGCUGGACACGGCACACCAGAAUGCCAUCACCCUGGUGACACUGGUGCAGGGCGAGCGGGACAAUGCAUCACGUGUCUGCACCCAGGGCAUGGAUGGCAGGCUCAUCCUGUGGGACCUGAAGACUCUGCAGUCCUCCAUGGCAGGCAUGCGCAUUGUCUGACCUUCGGUCAUCGCAGUAGCUGACCAAGAAUGUGGCCGGAAUGGUCCACUCUACCGGUCUAAUGUUGGCAAAGGACAGGAAGUGUGCGCGUGACCCUGCCGGAAAGGCGGAGGGCGGACAGCGACACCCUUGUGGUCCACGACAGUGAGGCAGUGUCUUCCAUGCGGACGACAAGCCAAACCAGACAGCUUCCAUGCAGACACGCUUCUGCCCAAGACACCUGCAUCAAGGGAGGGCUGUGUUGUUGAGUUCUUUUUUUUUUUUUAAUCGGUAACUUAAUGAGAACAUUGUUUACUGAAACGAUUUGUGCUGUUGGUGACUGUUGUCUGUGAGUUCUUUUUUUCCAUCCCUUCUUUGCUUUUUUUUUUUCCCACUAGAGUAUGUUUUGAACGCUCACUAAUCUAGUUGUUUCCUUCACCAUCUUCCCGGUGUAUGCAAGAUAAUUUGUGGGAAUUGUGUGAAGGACACACUCCUCCAAUUUUAUGAAAACUGUUUUUGCAGUUUCAAACAUUUGGAUCCAGCAAGUGCAGAAAAAGUGCAAGCAGUAUGCUAGUACUGUUCCCCCUCUUUGUUAUUUGUAGGCUAAAAUUCGAUGCUGUUUGUGAUAUUGAAUAAAUAAGUAGUAAGUACCACAAAAAAAGACAAUUGCAUGUUAUAACAGAAAGAAAGGGGCCUAAGAUAUGGUCUGAGCAGUGUUAGUGCUGGCAAAAUAUUUUGUAAAAACUGUUACAGCCAGGCUAUUCUCUGUGUGUCAUGUAUGCCCCCACUGUUCCAGGAUGGAUUCUUAAGUGUGCAUUCCAGAGUACCCUAAUCCAAAUCUCAUUGCGAAAAGUGUUUUAAUCAUAGCAAAAAUUCUUACUGGGUAUCUAGUGCUGGAAACAAUGUUAACAUUUAUGUGGUUACUGAAACAAUAUGUGUGUCAUUUUUGCUACAGCUUUGUGCAGAUGUUUGCAUUUGAUGGCCAUUUUAACCCCCAAAUGAAUUCCAGAAAAAUGAACCAAGUUUCCAAAACUUUUUUUAUGUUGUCAUAAUUUUUUCUGUGUCAUUCUGAUUCUGAAAAUGCAUUGCUUGAUUGGUUUCUGGCUGGAAUUAACACAAUCAUUUAAAAAAAAAAAAGCUGCUCUUGAGGCUAACUUUUCCUAAAUGCCGACUGUAACUCGUCUUUGGCAGUGGGAGCAGCACAAUGUCGAGGCUGAACGAGUCUGACUUUUCAUUGGUGAUACUGGUACAACCUCUCGUGAUGAGUACAGCUUGGGAUUGGGGGUUAAAGGUUUAAUGAGUUCUAUGGAGGCACUAAGGACAGUACAUUUUGCAAUGAAGCAGAAUGUUUCAUGCCAGUGUUCUAAUGUGCCAUGAUUAGACAUUUUAAGAUGAUGCAGAAGCAGCAUAGCGUUUCUUGAAACUCCAAUUGAACCAUAUGUUGCAGAGCAAGGUGAGAUUGCUACGAAGUGGGCAAGUUCUUCCUGAUGGAGGAGCUUGCUGAGGAAUCCGUGACAUAAUAGCAAAUCGGCAGGCUGCCUUCCAAUAAAAUGCAUAGAAUGAUCGAGAUGAAGGAGCAGACAAAAUAAGACAAAUUGCUGUUAGAAAAUCUGGAAAAUGCAGUUCUAGACAGCUGCAUCAGGAACUCCUGUACCAAGAUUGAUUAGAAAAAGAGAGGUGUGCUGGCUGAAAGCCACUGCCUCCCAAUUCUCGUGUGGCUGCCUUUAAAAAGAACAGGACCUCAGUUGUCUGAUGCAAUGCUCUGUCUUGCCAUCAAUUCACGUCUGCUACCUGCCAGCAUCACAAAGCAAAUGGCACCCUGGGCAGAGGUAAUGUAGCAAUUUUGAUUUUUCCUUUUUGUUUUUUGCCAAUGGUCCAAGUGACACUCCACCUAUGUUAUUACCAAGAUCAGUCGGUUGUGAGCAGUGAGUGACAAGAAAGGAAUAGAAUCGCAUAAGAGGAGCUCUUACAUUAUACUGGUCCAGGUUAAUCGGACUUUCUUUAAUUAUGAAUGUAGAUUGGUUACCACAACUUGUCGAUAUCGCAACGUGAUGCACCAUCUGCAGUAGUAUAAAUUGGCAACUGGCACUGUUGUGUGAAUCCACCGUUAAGCAAUCAGUGGAGAGCACAAAUCUGCUGUAAACCAAACAGUGUGAAAUGUAUCUGGGUGUAUGGAACAAAAGAGCGUGCACUAGAUGAACCAUUUGAAUUCAUUAAAUCACUUCAAAGUUCACAGUAAGCAUGUGGAAUUGCAGGCUUUCUUUCAUUCCUUCCUUAUUUAGUAUCAAGUGAAAAGGUUGUGUGAACAUUCGCCCAGGGCUGGCUUUUGGUCUGGUGUUUGCCUUGCUUAUGGCUUUUUAUGUUGACAUCUCUAGUUUUGUGAUCAAAUUAUAGGCUCGCUUGGUGCUUUGAUGCAUUGUAGUUGGACAUGUAAUUCAUUGCAGUUUGAGUGGCACCGAUUGCUUAAACUGUCAUCACAUGCUUCGUGAUUGGACACUUCCCUCAACUGUGGAACUGAUAACAUUUAUGCUUUUUCUUACUAGUUCUGCUCAGAAAUGCAAAAGUAAAACACGCAAACAGUAAUGUAUAUCCUUGCACAGAUUUACUGCAGCAAAGUACACAGUGGUGUCAGUGCAAGGCAUCUGUCAUUAGGAUAUAUGUAUAUAUGCUGUGGGGAUGAUCUUGCAUAUUGGACAUGAAAAACUAAUAACAGAAUAUACAUGUAUAGAGCGUUGCUCAGCACUGGGAGAGAAUGUAGCUUCUACUUAUUCUGCUGGGAAAAAUGAUGCUUUGAAGCAGUCUAUGAGAACCAGACAUCUGAAGAACAUAUAUCAAACUUGAACGUAGGACAUGCAUGAUAAAAAACAGAUUGUCAAUCAUUCAUAAAUUGUAGAGAGCAAUUUGCGUAGCUCCGAUGUGUUGUUCUUGACAUGAAAACACAAGUGACAUGUUCACCUCUGCAAUCUUUUUCAAAACAGUAGCAGUAUCUUGUACAAUAUAGCAGUCAUUGACACAAAUUCAUAGAAGUGGAAUGGCACUCGGAAACUUCCUCACUAGUGCCAUGUCACAUUCAAUUUGAGGACUUUUGUCAAAGUUUACUUCCCCUGGAUCACUAUUUCAUGAAGUGUGCUCAAGUAUGUGUACGUUGCUAGGGCUAGUCUAGAAUUAGCUGUCACAUCAAGACAUAAGAGAGCAGGAUUACUGCUGGCCAUCAUCCGCGGUGCAUUUUUUGCAGCAACACUAAUAUGUGUCCUAUAGGACUGCUGUACGACUUUAAGUAACAUAAUACAACAUAAACAUUUGAUGGGUUUGUCACAUCUGGGGUCGCAUUCUUGUGUGAUCACUUUUGGUAAUAGUAUCACUUUCGCAACGUUUUGCAAGAAUCUGCGCUGGUUGUGGGCAGGGCAAACACGCAAAAGGAGCUCUCAUUGGCACUUGUGGGCUGAGUCUCUCAAAAUCUUGCGAAAGUGACACUAUCGUUGAAAGUGAUCGCCAGAGAAUAUGCCCCCGGGUGAUUGUAUAGUUUGAUGCAUUCUCAAGGGCUGCAACUUCAUUUUUAUGCAUGACAUGAAGCGUGCAUCGUGAUGGAAGCUGUGUUGUAACUGUGCAAUGUGUAGCAGCUGGCAUUUGCCCAGCUAAUAUUAAAUCAAAUUGUCACAUUUUCUCGCCUGUUAUAGACGCUUGAGAUGACUACAGCUCUUCUGGCAUCAGAGGAUUCUCAGCAAUACCCUCGUCUCUUUCGUCGUUUUGUAUUGCACUGCAGAUUAUGGCUACAUUCUUAUAUUUUGUACGGUCGAUGGUUUUCUUUUGUCACGACAGUACUUGUUAUUGUGGGCAUUUCCUUCUCCUAUCACUCUGUGCCCAGCAUGGACAAAACAGUAGAAGGCCAGCUGCAGCUUUGGAAGAUCACUGCUUGGUUAUUCUUUAUCUUGGGUUUCUGUGGCCUCCGUGCCUUUAAAGCUGCUGGUUGGUUGGUUGGCUGGUUGAUCCUCAGUGCAAUUAACUCUGGGAGAUUGGCCAAGAACCACAUGGUAAAAGCACCCAAAAGUGAUACAAAUUUUGAGAAUGAAGCAGGAAUUCUGGAUAUAGAGUUAUCUGAUGCAGAUCUGCAUUUAAUAAAUAAAUAUUACUGUAAGGGAAGAUGUGAAUAAAGAUGGGAAGUUGGGAGAGUUGGUGACUAAUCAUCAUACCAUGUGGGUGAAGCAGCGCACUGACCAAGACAAGGCGGAGUGCGUCGUGCAUUCUAGUCUCUCCGCCUUGUCCUGGUCAGUGCGCUGCUUCAACCCACAUAGUAUGAUGAGCAGGGAAUAAGAGGAAAAUAAAAUUUAGGAUGAAAUAGUUCCUGUCUCGCAUAGGGAAUAGAAUAUGGCGAACUUCGCACCAUGCUAGUGUUUCAUCCUUACCCGCCGUGGUUGCUCAGUGGCUAUGGUGUUGGGCUGCUGAGCACGAGGUCGCGGGAUCGAAUCCCGGCCAUGGCGGCCACAUUUCAAUGGGGGCGAAAUGCGAAAACACCCGUGUGCUUAGAUUUACGUGCAAGUUAAAGAACCCCAGGUGGUCCAAAUUUCCGGAGUCCCCCACUACGGCGUGCCUCAUAAUCAGAUCGUGGUUUUUGCACGUAAAACCCCAUAAUUUAAAAAAAAAUUGUUUCAUCCUUGUACUCCACUUUUGUGUUUUCUCUAGUGUAAUUUUCAGUCUGGAGAUGAUGUUUCGACAUGACCUAUUAAAAAUGCAGUCUGUCUUUUUUGUUUAAGCACAGGUGUUUGGUUGUAAUGAUAAUUAAAUUUUAUGAGUCACUGCCACCAGUUUCCGUUUGACAUGUGAAUGGUGCGAGUUACAUUUGGUGGCAUGGCAUAGUGGCCAAGACAUCGUCAUUUUGACUUGCAUCAUUGUGGUUUGAACACAACAACUGCAAUUGCACUUAGCUUUUUAUUUUUUUAACUAGAUUGUGUGACAAUCUAUGCUGCAUUUGGUCAAGAUCACAUUAUAAAUAUAGCUUGCUAAAGGAAAUGCCCACAGGAAUAGUGAUUGUUGUGCGACAUCAGUGAACCUCAAUAGGUUUAAAAUGUUAGGAAAAAUUGUUGACAUUUCAGGCAGUUUCCUCGUCGCUGUAGACAUUCCGAAUCCAAACUGCUCCAUUAGUAUGCAUGUGGUAAGCAACUGAAGUUGUGAGCUGUUAACGUAUGGCCAAGGUGUCGCUAGAACAGUUCUUGCGAAAUAAGGCAAGUGCGAAGCAUACUGCAGUAGCUUGUAAGUGAACACAUUGCUUCAGCACAUUAUUUUUGUGAAACAGCAAACUUUGGCUAUAAAGUGCUAGCUUGCACAGUCUAUGAACUUGUAAAUUACAUGCACUGCUACGCUGUUGAAAGCUGACUACCAUGGCGACGUAUGCUGUCAAAGCUUUACUGUUCGUGGCAUAAAUUGUUGAGAGUGUCGCUGAGGCUUCAGACUUGAAAUGGUUGGCUGUGAGAACAGCCAAAUUGCUUAUUUAUUCUUCCAGGUGUUCUGCAUCUGUGAUUCUUUGUGCACUGUUUAAAACUGCAUCUCGGAUGUUUUGAUGGUCGUACCUCCAAGCUGGACACCUUGGUCUCGAGGUUGUAAGAUAAUGACAAAUAAACAACACAUGCCUUUCUU